UACGUAGGGUGCAAGCGUUGUCCGGAAUUAUUGGGCGUAAAGAGCUCGUAGGCGGUUUGUUGCGUCGGCUGUGAAAUCCCGAGGCUCAACCUCGGGUCUGCAGUCGAUACGAGCAAACUAGAGUGUUGCAGGGGAGACUGGAAUUCCUGGUGUAGCGGUGAAAUGCGCAGAUAUCAGGAAGAACACCCGUGGCGAAAGCGGCUCUCUGGAGCGGUACUGACGCUGAGACGCGAAAGCGUGGGGAGCGAACAGG
Molecule: ribosomal RNA, 253 nt
Filed under: uncultured bacterium
Lineage: Bacteria
Description: partial 16S ribosomal RNA
Rfam family: Bacterial small subunit ribosomal RNA
Source: RNAcentral